GGGUUGUGAGGUUAAGCGACUAAGCGUACACGGUGGAUGCCCUGGUAGUCAGAGGCGAUGAAGGACGUGCUAAUCUGCGAUAAGCGUCGGUAAGGUGAUAUGAACCGUUAUAACCGGCGAUUUCCGAAUGGGGAAACCCAGUGUGUUUCGACACACUAUCAUUAACUGAAUCCAUAGGUUAAUGAGGCGAACCGGGGGAACUGAAACAUCUAAGUACCCCGAGGAAAAGAAAUCAACCGAGAUUCCCCCAGUAGCGGCGAGCGAACGGGGAGCAGCCCAGAGCCUGAAUCAGUGUGUGUGUUAGUGGAAGCGUCUGGAAAGGCGUGCGAUACAGGGUGACAGCCCCGUACACAAAAAUGCACAUGCUGUGAGCUCGAUGAGUAGGGCGGGACACGUGGUAUCCUGUCUGAAUAUGGGGGGACCAUCCUCCAAGGCUAAAUACUCCUGACUGACCGAUAGUGAACCAGUACCGUGAGGGAAAGGCGAAAAGAACCCCGGCGAGGGGAGUGAAAAAGAACCUGAAACCGUGUACGUACAAGCAGUGGGAGCACGCUUAGGCGUGUGACUGCGUACCUUUUGUAUAAUGGGUCAGCGACUUAUAUUCUGUAGCAAGGUUAACCGAAUAGGGGAGCCGAAGGGAAACCGAGUCUUAACUGGGCGUUAAGUUGCAGGGUAUAGACCCGAAACCCGGUGAUCUAGCCAUGGGCAGGUUGAAGGUUGGGUAACACUAACUGGAGGACCGAACCGACUAAUGUUGAAAAAUUAGCGGAUGACUUGUGGCUGGGGGUGAAAGGCCAAUCAAACCGGGAGAUAGCUGGUUCUCCCCGAAAGCUAUUUAGGUAGCGCCUCGUGAAUUCAUCUCCGGGGGUAGAGCACUGUUUCGGCAAGGGGGUCAUCCCGACUUACCAACCCGAUGCAAACUGCGAAUACCGGAGAAUGUUAUCACGGGAGACACACGGCGGGUGCUAACGUCCGUCGUGAAGAGGGAAACAACCCAGACCGCCAGCUAAGGUCCCAAAGUCAUGGUUAAGUGGGAAACGAUGUGGGAAGGCCCAGACAGCCAGGAUGUUGGCUUAGAAGCAGCCAUCAUUUAAAGAAAGCGUAAUAGCUCACUGGUCGAGUCGGCCUGCGCGGAAGAUGUAACGGGGCUAAAC
This 1154-nucleotide ribosomal RNA is filed under the name Escherichia coli. Its description in RNAcentral is "partial 23S ribosomal RNA". It matches the Rfam family "Bacterial large subunit ribosomal RNA", at positions 1 to 1187 of the family's 2925-position model. The record is from RNAcentral. Lineage: Bacteria; Pseudomonadati; Pseudomonadota; Gammaproteobacteria; Enterobacterales; Enterobacteriaceae.